Bactrocera dorsalis (oriental fruit fly) is the source of this 3371-nucleotide RNA transcript. It is a transcript of the gene named dynein axonemal intermediate chain 4, with no coding region annotated. The transcript is spliced from 5 exons. The record is from RefSeq and is a predicted model, not a curated record. NCBI's taxonomy places the organism in Eukaryota, Metazoa, Arthropoda, Insecta, Diptera, Tephritidae.
UAUAUACAUACUUAUAUUUUGAAAACAACAUAUUUUUUCACACGCAAUUUUUUUCUUAGAAUUUUUCCGAGAUCGAUUGAUUUAGUUUCCACUUAUUCGCUGCGAAAGUCAAACUCACAAUGUCGCGCAAAACCUUCGGCGAAAAGAAGAAGAGCCACAUAUCGCGCGUCACUUACAACUUCGCGUUGAGCAAAGAAAUCGAAAAUGCGAUGAUUUGGCGCCAAUCCUUGGAACUAAGGGAUAUUGUACGUGGUAAAAGCAUAGAUGUCACACCCAAGCUCAUUGAUACCGAUACGCGGUCAACGCUUCGAUUUCGCAGUAUAGCCACCUAUGCCGAAGAUCUUAUAAAACAAAUGACCAAAAGCUCCAGCGUACAAAGUUUCAACAGUCGCCGAAUAAGCAUAAGUUCAGUGAAAGCCAAGUCCAGUACACGUCUGGGUCUGAAGCUUUCACUGGAUGAAAUCAUACAAGCAAUUGGAUCGAGCGGUUCGCUCCACGAAUAUCAUCACUAUUACCAUGAAAUUACUUUUGCCAAACGAGAACCAUUACCUUUUAUAAAAGUGGUUUUGCGCAAGUCGCCAGAAUUCGUGUUAUACCAUCAAAACAGUUUUACCGUACCGAAAGGCAGUGCAGAAGCCGAGGCUGUCGAACAUGACAAUCAAAUUUACGAUUACCUAACAAUAGGUAAAGGCAAGGUACGUCGGCGUUCCGAUGCCGAAACGCAGACCGUCGGUGUGCUUAUGAAGCCGCGCACUGUCAGUACAAUCCCAAAGAAAUUCGGUGAAAGGGCGGCCUACGUAUCAUUUUUCGAAAUGUUCGACACCUACCAACAAUUACUCCAAACACCGACCGCGUUCAAUGAGCGUCACUCACUAAGUACGGGCGUUUUAGAUUUAAUUGCAAAAAAUCCACAAUUCUCCUACGCGGCUAUGGUGUUGGAACGUAUAUUGGCUAGCAAUUGUUAUCAACAGGGACAACGCCGUUAUCGCAACAUGAAUAUACCCACUAAAAUGGACAAAUAUGCCGAGUAUAAAUAUUCGCUGAAUCUGCUCUAUCGCUUGAUACAGCCCAAAUUUCAAGGUGGCCUGGAUAAGCGGCGCAAAGCUAUUGCCGCUCUAAGUUUUUGUCAUGGCAAUGGUGAUCUAAUAGCCGUCGCUUAUGGUUUCUAUUCGGAUGCCUCGAAAGUGACCGUGCCGAAUGGUAACGUCUGCGUUUGGAGUAUGAAAAAUCCACAAAACCCGGAACGCCACUACAGCUAUCCAGUGCCGGUAUCAGCAGUUGAGUUCUCACCAUUUUUACCUUUUCUCCUUGCCAUUGGCCUCUACGAUGGCACAGUGCAAGUGCGAAACAUAACAAAACCGGACUAUCCGCCAGUUGCGAUUUCGCAGCGUAGCGUUCUAUUGAGCUGUGAACCGGUGACCGCCAUACAAUGGAUCCGCCAAACGCAAGAGAAUGCCGCCGAAGCAGAUCCAUUUUUAGCGCUAACUCGUGAUGGCAAAGUAGCGAAAUUUCGCAUUAUAGCGAGCCCAUACCUGUUGGGUAUGCGUCAGAUGGAGCUACUGCGCAUCGAAGGCAAUCCUGAGGGUUUUCAAUCCAAAAAUAUUGUAAUGAACGAAGAAAAGUCGCUCGAUUCGGGACGUAGCGCUAGCGGUUUGCAUCUAGUUAUGCAUCCGGUGCAAAGCGAUAUCUAUUACAUACUCACCGACGAGGGUUGCAUACAGAAGUGCUCGUUGAAUCACACACAUCAUUACUUGGAAAUGUUGAAGGUCCAUGAGGGCUCCGUUAACCAUAUGGAUUUCUCACCUUGGUCACCGAAACUGUUUCUAACCUGUGGCAAUGAUUGGACCAUUCGCAUUUGGCUGGAAGGUAUUUUUCAGCCUCUAAUAACCCUUUCCGAUCGCUAUAUGCCAGUCCAUUGUGCCAUGUGGAGUCGCACUCACUCUACGGUAAUUAUUGCUGUCAAUCGGGAAACUGUUGACAUGUGGGACUUACGACGAAACUUAUUGGACCCUAUAUCAACCAUAAAUAUUGACUCUUCGUUUCAUACUUUAGCAAAACAAGCAACAGUGCCAAGCAAUGAAUCAACUUUUUACCGAUAUUCGAACGAGCGACCGACCAUGUGACACGACGCACAGAGAUUGCUUUGCGCUUUAAAACAAUACCGAAUGUCCCAACGCAAUCAAGCAACGAGCGGAGUGACAGCUCAAGCAGCAGGCAAAUCAAAGGCAAAAGCUUCAACAACAAACGGCAGGAGGAGCAAAGAGCGGUGGAAUUGAUUUGAUCGUCAUCAAAAUGGGAUCUCUCAUCCGAGGCUGGUUAUGACUAUUCACUGGGGGUGUUUUUUUACGUGCCGGGUCCCAAACCCAGCGCACAACCCUAUGCAGGGGAUGUUUCGCCUUCUCACGUUAGCUCGCCUUCAAGCGGAUGUUCUUAGGCUACCCAGAGGAUACUUGGUCAAAAACCGGAAGUCGUGAGCUGCUUGAGUCACAUGUAAAAGAAUCGUUUCUGGCCACUCCAAAGUGAAUGGCAAUCAGAGAACUUUCCUCACUUGCGUGAACUUCUACACAUGACUCCAUCCUCAACAACGGAUGAGUCGACAUUGCGAGUUUUCGAGAGAAAAGUUCUGCGAAAGAUUUAUGGUCCUUUGCGCGUUGGCCACGGCGAAUAUCGCAUUCGAUGGAACGAUGAGUUAUACGAGAUAUACGACGACAUUGACAUAGUUUAGCGAAUUAAGAGACAGUGGCUAAGCUGGUUAGGUCAUGUUGUCCGGAUGGACGAAAACACUCCAGCUCUGAAAGUAUUCGACGCAGUACCCGCGCGGGAAGCAGAUGAAGAGGAAGACCUCCACUCCGUUGGAAGGACCAAGUGGAGAAGGACCUGGCCUCGCUUGGAAUAUCCAAUUGGCGCCACGUUGCGAAAAGAAGAAACGACUGGCGUGCGGCUGUUUAACUCGGCUAUAAUCGCAUAAGCGGUGUCUACGCCAAUUAAGAAGAAGAAGAAGAAUUGAUUUUAACGAAACAGACCUUAGACUUUGAGGUGCAAUUCAAUAAAAUAUCGCAUACAAAUCUGAAAUCAGAAUUCAUACUAUCUCUUCAAGUGAUGGAUUAGAAAAUGGAUCAGGGCUACCGUAGAGUAGAGAAUGAAAACACGCUUUGAUCUCACAUGACGUGGAUUCGGACCAUAUUUUCGACCAAGUACAAAAAUAUUUUUUGAAGGCGAUCGGCACUUGGCAUCAUGUAAGCCAUGAAAAAGGAUAAACCAACUUAAAAAGAAGUCACCGACGAAAUCAGCUACAAGUUAAGUCGUCACUUACAAAUAUUUUUAUUUAAACUAUAAAUAUAAUUCAAUUUUAUAGUUGAAAUAAAUUUGAA